UACGUAUUUUGUUUCUGCAGGAGUACAAUUUCUUGAGGGUAGAGCAUGUUUCUGACACAUCUUAGCAUCUCUGAGUGCCAGAAAAAAUAGGUGCUUACCAUCAGGAUCAGGAUCCAUCAGGGUAGUCUACAGCUGGUGACAUGGCAAGAAAGAGGAGGCUGCAGAGACUGAACAAACAGCAUGCACUGUGGUAUCCUUUAUUUAAAAAUUGUGAGCUAACUACAGUUGUAGUGUUCUCAUUUACCAUUCUGAUGGCAUAAUAAACUGCGAGAACAU
Molecule: long non-coding RNA, 276 nt
Organism: Panthera uncia (snow leopard)
Lineage: Eukaryota; Metazoa; Chordata; Mammalia; Carnivora; Felidae
Exons: 2
Source: RefSeq, a predicted model, not a curated record